This 292-nucleotide ribosomal RNA is filed under the name uncultured bacterium. RNAcentral describes it as "partial 16S ribosomal RNA". It matches the Rfam family "Bacterial small subunit ribosomal RNA", at positions 505 to 796 of the family's 1533-position model. The record is from RNAcentral.
AUGCCAGCAGCCGCGGUAAUACAGAGGUCCCAAGCGUUGUUCGGAUUCACUGGGCGUAAAGGGUGCGUAGGUGGCGGGGUAAGUUUGAUGUGAAAUCUCCGGGCUUAACCCGGAAACUGCAUUGAAUACUAUUCUGCUAGAGGUUUGGAGGGGGGACUGGAAUUCUCGGUGUAGCAGUGAAAUGCGUAGAUAUCGAGAGGAACACCAGUGGCGAAGGCGAGUCCCUGGACAACACCUGACACUGAGGCACGAAAGCUAGGGGAGCAAACAGGAUUAGAUACCCGUGUAGUCC